GUCUUUGUAAUGUAGUGGUUAGCAUGCUAGGCGUGUAUUCCAGAGGUCCGUGGUUCGAAUCCCGGCGAAGGCG
RNAcentral lists this transfer RNA (73 nucleotides) under Stegodyphus mimosarum. It matches the Rfam family "tRNA". From Rfam's summary of the family: Transfer RNA (tRNA) molecules are approximately 80 nucleotides in length. Their secondary structure includes four short double-helical elements and three loops (D, anti-codon, and T loops). The record is from Rfam by way of RNAcentral. Lineage: Eukaryota; Metazoa; Arthropoda; Arachnida; Araneae; Eresidae.